UACGGAGGAUGCGAGCGUUAUCCGGAUUUAUUGGGUUUAAAGGGUGCGUAGGCGGGUUAUCAAGUCAGCGGUAAAAUCGUGGAGCUCAACUCCAUCCAGCCGUUGUAACUGAUGAUCUUGAGUGGGCGAGAAGUAUGCGGAAUGCGUGGUGUAGCGGUGAAAUGCAUAGAUAUCACGCAGAACUCCGAUUGCGAAGGCAGCAUACCGGCGCCCGACUGACGCUGAAGCACGAAAGCGUGGGUAUCGAACAGG
This 252-nucleotide ribosomal RNA is filed under the name uncultured bacterium. RNAcentral's name for it is "partial 16S ribosomal RNA". It matches the Rfam family "Bacterial small subunit ribosomal RNA", at positions 524 to 776 of the family's 1533-position model. The record is from RNAcentral.